Molecule: ribosomal RNA, 487 nt
Filed under: uncultured Halochromatium sp.
Lineage: Bacteria; Pseudomonadati; Pseudomonadota; Gammaproteobacteria; Chromatiales; Chromatiaceae
Description: bacterial SSU rRNA
Rfam family: Bacterial small subunit ribosomal RNA
Source: RNAcentral
ACGGGAGGCAGCAGUGGGGAAUAUUGGACAAUGGGGGAAACCCUGAUCCAGCAAUGCCGCGUGUGUGAAGAAGGCCUGCGGGUUGUAAAGCACUUUCGGUGGGGAGGAAAAGCUGGGAGNUAAUACCUUUCAGUGUUGACGUUACCCAAAGAAGAAGCACCGGCUAACUCUGUGCCAGCAGCCGCGGUAAUACAGAGGGUGCAAGCGUUAAUCGGAAUUACUGGGCGUAAAGCGCACGUAGGUGGUUUGGUAAGUCGGAUGUGAAAGCCCCGGGCUCAACCUGGGAAUUGCAUUCGAUACUGCCUGGCUAGAGUAUGGUAGAGGGGGGUAGAAUUCCCGGUGUAGCGGUGAAAUGCGUAGAUAUCGGGAGGAAUACCAGUGGCGAAGGCGGCCCCCUGGACCAAUACUGACACUGAGGUGCGAAAGCGUGGGUAGCAAACAGGAUUAGAUACCCUGGUAGUCCACGCCGUAAACGAUGUCAACUAGA